GAUGAACGCUGGCGGCGUGCCUAAUACAUGCAAGUCGAGCGAACGGACGAGAAGCUUGCUUCUCUGAUGUUAGCGGCGGACGGGUGAGUAACACGUGGAUAACCUACCUAUAAGACUGGGAUAACUUCGGGAAACCGGAGCUAAUACCGGAUAAUAUUUUGAACCGCAUGGUUCAAAAGUGAAAGACGGUCUUGCUGUCACUUAUAGAUGGAUCCGCGCUGCAUUAGCUAGUUGGUAAGGUAACGGCUUACCAAGGCAACGAUGCAUAGCCGACCUGAGAGGGUGAUCGGCCACACGGGAACUGAGACACGGUCCAGACUCCUACGGGAGGCAGCAGUAGGGAAUCUUCCGCAAUGGGCGAAAGCCUGACGGAGCAACGCCGCGUGAGUGAUGAAGGUCUUCGGAUCGUAAAACUCUGUUAUUAGGGAAGAACAUAUGUGUAAGUAGCUGUGCACAUCUUGACGGUACCUAAUCAGAAAGCCACGGCUAACUACGU
Molecule: ribosomal RNA, 496 nt
Filed under: uncultured bacterium
Lineage: Bacteria
Description: partial 16S ribosomal RNA
Rfam family: Bacterial small subunit ribosomal RNA
Source: RNAcentral